This 465-nucleotide ribosomal RNA is filed under the name Vreelandella stevensii. Its description in RNAcentral is "partial 16S ribosomal RNA". It matches the Rfam family "Bacterial small subunit ribosomal RNA", at positions 338 to 795 of the family's 1533-position model. Lineage: Bacteria; Pseudomonadati; Pseudomonadota; Gammaproteobacteria; Oceanospirillales; Halomonadaceae. The record is from RNAcentral.
CCUACGGGCGGCAGCAGUGGGGUAUAUUGGACAAUGGGGGGAACCCUGAUCCAGCCAUGCCGCGUGUGUGAAGAAGGCCCUCGGGUUGUAAAGCACUUUCAGUGAGGAAGAACGCCUGGUGGUUAAUACCCAUCAGGAAAGACAUCACUCACAGAAGAAGCACCGGCUAACUCCGUGCCAGCAGCCGCGGUAAUACGGAGGGUGCGAGCGUUAAUCGGAAUUACUGGGCGUAAAGCGCGCGUAGGUGGCUUGAUAAGCCGGUUGUGAAAGCCCCGGGCUCAACCUGGGAACGGCAUCCGGAACUGUCAAGCUAGAGUGCAGGAGAGGAAGGUAGAAUUCCCGGUGUAGCGGUGAAAUGCGUAGAGAUCGGGAGGAAUACCAGUGGCGAAGGCGGCCUUCUGGACUGACACUGACACUGAGGUGCGAAAGCGUGGGUAGCAAACAGGAUUAGAUACCCCGGUAGUC